Molecule: ribosomal RNA, 253 nt
Filed under: uncultured bacterium
Lineage: Bacteria
Description: partial 16S ribosomal RNA
Rfam family: Bacterial small subunit ribosomal RNA
Source: RNAcentral
UACAGAGGGUGCGAGCGUUAAUCGGAAUUACUGGGCGUAAAGCGCGCGUAGGCGGCUUUGCAAGUCGAGUGUGAAAUCCCCAGGCUCAACCUGGGAACUGCAUUCGAGACUGCAUAGCUAGAGUAUGGGAGAGGGAAGUGGAAUUUCAGGUGUAGCGGUGAAAUGCGUAGAUAUCUGAAGGAACAUCAGUGGCGAAAGCGACUUCCUGGACCAGUACCGACGUUCAGGCACGAAAGCGUGGGGAGCAAACAGG